UAAAACAGUCUUUCCAUCUUACUCAAUAAACAAUUACUGACCACCUAACAAUGUACACACAUAAGAAUAACAGAAACUUAUGAUAUAAAGCAAACUAGUAACAUAAGAUGCUGUUAGAAUAAUUCCAUUCAAAAAUAUAUAAAUGUUAGAAGAAUCUUCUUCCUGCAAGGGACCAGGGACAAAAUCUAAUUUACGUUUUAUGCUCUCUUCUCUCCAGUUCUCCUUUUGAAUUGCUCUUUCAUUUUCUUUUUUUUUUUUUUUUAAGAUUUUAUUUAUUUAUUUGACAGAGAGAGAGAGACAGCCAGCGAGAGAGGGAACACAAGCAGGGGGAGUGGGAGAGGAAGAAGCAGGCUUCUAGCAGAGGAGCCUGAUGUGGGGCUCGAUCCCGUAACGCCAGGAUCACGCCCUGGGCCGAAGGCAGACGCUUAACCGCUGUGCCACCCAGGUGCCCCUGCUCUUUCAUUUUCUGUACCUUAAUACCAAGACUUUCAAAUUGUGAGCAGGCCUCUGAAUCAUAUUUCAGAAUAUUGUCUAAUUGUAUGCUUUCUUAAUAAACUAGCUGUCGGUUGCAGAACGAUUUUGGUGCCCCAAGGCAAAAUUCUAUAACAAGUUUAACAUAACUCUCCUGAUACCUGGAAUCAUCUCAGGCCCAUCCGGCCUCCCCUAAAAGCCCUUGCAAGAGAACAUGGUGAGGCAGUAUCAAAUUUCUCUAUAUCGCCAGUGGGGAAACAAUACCAAUGUGCUAUUACAGAGGGAACACUUUGUGACAAGACGGGUUGGAAUUACACUUCUAUUUUAGGAUAGUGAGCAACUUAUGUUUUCAAGAAGACUCAUCGCAGGUUAUCGUUUCGGCUUAUUGUUGACGUCUGACAUUCAGAUGUCUUUUACCUGGCGUUCCGACCAUUUGACGUACCAUGUGCGGAGAGGGGCUGCUUUUGUCCAGUGGUUGUGAGAUGUGCCGCCUAGACAAGUUCAUCAUCAUGUGAAGUAUGUAAUGAAAAAACAAUAAAGCACAAAUGUUUUUCUUUUCUGCUUCA
RNAcentral lists this long non-coding RNA (1037 nucleotides) under Ursus maritimus (polar bear). RNAcentral describes it as "lncRNA (ENSUMAG00000024237.1)". Lineage: Eukaryota; Metazoa; Chordata; Mammalia; Carnivora; Ursidae. The record is from RNAcentral.